UGGGGAAUUUUGCACAAUCGGGGAAACCCUGAUGCAGCGACGCCGCGUGAUUUAGAAGGCCUUCGGGUUGUAAAAAUCUUUUCUAUGGGAAGAAAAUGACAGUAUCAUAGGAAUAAGGACCGGCUAAUUACGUGCCAGCAGCCGCGGUAAUACGUAAGGUCCGAGCGUUGUCCGGAAUCAUUGGGCGUAAAGGGUACGUAGGCGGGUAAGCAAGUUAGAAGUGAAAUCCUAUAGCUCAACUAUAGUAAGCUUUUAAAACUGCUCAUCUUGAGGUAUGGAAGGGAAAGUGGAAUUCCUAGUGUAGCGGUGAAAUGCGCAGAUAUUAGGAGGAAUACCGGUGGCGAAGGCGACUUUCUGGCCAUAACCUGACGCUGAGGUACGAAAGCGUGGGUAGCAAACAGG
This 402-nucleotide ribosomal RNA is filed under the name bacterium. Its description in RNAcentral is "partial 16S ribosomal RNA". It matches the Rfam family "Bacterial small subunit ribosomal RNA", at positions 355 to 776 of the family's 1533-position model. The record is from RNAcentral.